AAAAGAUGGGGCCUUGUAGGAAAAAGUUAGGUCAUGGGGUGGGACUCUGGCCCAUUUCUUCCUUUCUUUGUUUCUCAGCUGUCAUGAGGUAAACAGGCCUCCUUUGCUAUGUGCUCCUGUAAUAAUGUACUGUGCUGCCACAGGCCAAAAGGGACAGGGCCAAGUCACCAUGGACUGAAACCUCUGAAAGCAUAAGUCAAAAUAAACCUUUCCUCCUUAAAAGUUGAUUACUUCUGAUUACUUCUAUUUGUCAUAGUGACAGAAAGUUAACACAGUCCCUCCGCCAAUCCCUUUUUAAGUGGACAUGGUCUGGUGAAAGAUGAGGACUUUUCCAAAGCAAUUCUCUAUAAGAACUAGUUAUCUUUGCUUUAAUCAAGUAAUUUCCAAAAUCCUGAAUUCUUUAUUAAAUUUUCAUAAUCAAUAUCCUCAUGUAACAUUUUAUUUUAUCAUUUGGACCUCUUCAUUAUGGCAUAGUAUAUGUGCACUUAAUUCUUCAAGAGCAGAAUCUCUUCCCUUGGGGACAGAGCUCUGGCUUUAGAGAUAGACAGAUUUCAGACAGAAUCCUCCUUUUACCUUUCACUAACUAUGAGGCCUUAAUCAAGCUGCUUGGGACCUUCAUAUCUUCAUCUGCAAUGUAGAAAUAAAAUACCUACCCUCAUUGUGGCAGGGAUUAAAUGAAACAAUCUAUGUGAACAGACUUGCCUGAUAUGCAGAGAAUAUGUACUAAAAGCAACUGCACAGAGUUGAGACAUACCCAGGCGCAGGUUUUCUUUGAUUUCCAUGGUCUUUUGAAAAGACUCAAGUUCAUUUCUUUGACCCCUUCCCUGACUUUCCUUGGUAGCAAUAAAUACUUCAUAUCCACUGAUGGCAUAAGACCUGAAACAUGUCCUUUCUUUAGCACUAAAAAGAUCAUGUGCUUCUUUAUUUAGCUGGGGUUUUUUUUUGGUGGGGGGUGGGGGGAUACCAGGGAUUGAACUCACAGGCACUGACCACUAAGCCACAUCCACAGCCCUUUUUUGUAUUUUAUUUAGAGACACGGUCUCACUGAGUUGCUUAGCACCUCACCAUUGCUGAAGCUGGCUUUGAACUCCCAAUCCCCCUGUCUCAGCCUCUGGAGCCCUGGGAUUUCAGGCAUGUGCUACUGUGCCCCGCCCCUAGCUAUUUUUUUAAAACUUUAUUUACUUUGUUUAUUUAUUUG
This 1198-nucleotide long non-coding RNA is filed under the name Marmota monax (woodchuck). The record is from RNAcentral. Lineage: Eukaryota; Metazoa; Chordata; Mammalia; Rodentia; Sciuridae.